GUGGGGAAUAUUGGACAAUGGGCGCAAGCCUGAUCCAGCCAUGCCGCGUGAGUGAUGAAGGCCCUAGGGUUGUAAAGCUCUUUCACCGGUGAAGAUAAUGACGGUAACCGGAGAAGAAGCCCCGGCUAACUUCGUGCCAGCAGCCGCGGUAAUACGAAGGGGGCUAGCGUUGUUCGGAAUUACUGGGCGUAAAGCGCACGUAGGCGGACAUUUAAGUCAGGGGUGAAAUCCCGGGGCUCAACCCCGGAACUGCCUUUGAUACUGGGUGGCUGGAGUAUGGCAGAGGUAAGUGGAAUUCCGAGUGUAGAGGUGAAAUUCGUAGAUAUUCGGAGGAACACCAGUGGCGAAGGCGGCUUACUGGUCCAUUACUGACGCUGAGGUGCGAAAGCGUGGGGAGCAAACAGGAUUAGAAACCCCAGUAGUCC
RNAcentral lists this ribosomal RNA (425 nucleotides) under uncultured bacterium. RNAcentral's name for it is "partial 16S ribosomal RNA". It matches the Rfam family "Bacterial small subunit ribosomal RNA", at positions 354 to 796 of the family's 1533-position model. The record is from RNAcentral.